Molecule: ribosomal RNA, 253 nt
Filed under: uncultured bacterium
Lineage: Bacteria
Description: partial 16S ribosomal RNA
Rfam family: Bacterial small subunit ribosomal RNA
Source: RNAcentral
AACGUAGGUGGCGAGCGUUAUCCGGAUUUACUGGGCGUAAAGGGUGUGCAGGCGGGCUGUUAAGUGGUGUAUGAAAUAUCCCGGCUCAACCGGGAAGGGUUAUGCCAGACUGGCAGUCUAGAGAGCGAGAGAGGGAUGUGGAAUUCCGGGUGUAGUGGUGAAAUGCGUAGAGAUCCGGAGGAACCCCAGAGGCGAAGGCGGCGCCCUAGCUCGGUUCUGACGCUCAGACACGAAAGCGUGGGGAGCGAACAGG